GGAGUCGGUGAGAUGGUCGCUGCGGCCUUGUGCCGUGGAGGAAAGUCCGAACUCCAUAGGGCAGCGUGCCGGGUAACGCCCGGCGGGGGCGACCCCAGGGAAAGUGCCACAGAAAACGAACCGCCAACCUUCGCGCAAGCGGAGCGGUAAGGGUGAAAAGGUGCGGUAAGAGCGCACCGCGCCACCGGGCAACCGGAGGCGGCAGGGUAAACCCCACGCGGAGCAAGACCAAAUAGGGGGGCGUGAUGAGGGCGGCCCGCCCCAGGCCCCCGGGUAGGUCGCAUGAGGGAAGGGGAGACUCUUCUCCCAGAUGAAUGGCCAUCACCGGGCCUCGGCCCGGGACAGAAUUCGGCUUACGGCCGACUCCGACA
This 371-nucleotide RNase P RNA is filed under the name Acidobacteriota bacterium. Its description in RNAcentral is "Acidobacteria bacterium RNase P RNA component class A". It matches the Rfam family "Bacterial RNase P class A". Rfam says of the family: Ribonuclease P (RNase P) is a ubiquitous endoribonuclease, found in archaea, bacteria and eukarya as well as chloroplasts and mitochondria. Lineage: Bacteria; Pseudomonadati; Acidobacteriota. The record is from RNAcentral.